Molecule: small nuclear RNA, 102 nt
Organism: Chlorocebus sabaeus (green monkey)
Lineage: Eukaryota; Metazoa; Chordata; Mammalia; Primates; Cercopithecidae
Source: RefSeq, a predicted model, not a curated record
UGAAACCCCUGUCUCAAAAAAAAAAAAAAAAAAAUACAGUAAAGUUUAGUAUGGCCCCUGUCCAAGGAUGGCACACAAAUUUGUAAAAUGUUUCAUAGUUUU